CAGCCGCCGCGGUAACACCGGCGGCUCGAGUGGUAACCGCUAUUAUUGGGUCUAAAGGGUCUGUAGCCUGCAGGUUAAGUCUCUUGGUAAAUCCGGCAGCUCAACUGUCGGGGUUCAGGGGAUACUGGUCUGCUCGGGACCGGGAGAGGUGAGAGGUACCUCAGGGGUAGGGGUGAAAUCUUGUAAUCCUUGAGGGACCACCAGUGGCGAAGGCGUCUCACCAGAACGGGUCCGACGGCAAGGGACGAAAGCUAGGGGCACGAACCGGAUUAGAUACCCGGGUAGUCCUAGCCGUAAACGAUACUCGCUAGGUGUCGGCCACGGUGCGACCGUGGUCGGUGCCGUAGGGAAGCCGUGAAGCGAGCCACCUGGGAAGUACGGCCGCAAGGCUGAAACUUAAAGGAAUUGGCGGGGGAGCACUACAACGGGUGGAGCCUGCGGUUUAAUUGGAUUCAACGCCGGAAAUCUCACCGGGGGCGACAGCAUGAUGAAGGCCAGGCUGAAGACCUUGCCUGAUCCGCUGAGAGGUGGUGCAUGGCC
This 540-nucleotide ribosomal RNA is filed under the name uncultured archaeon. Its description in RNAcentral is "bacterial SSU rRNA". It matches the Rfam family "Archaeal small subunit ribosomal RNA", at positions 459 to 999 of the family's 1478-position model. The record is from RNAcentral.